This 517-nucleotide long non-coding RNA is filed under the name Zostera marina. RNAcentral's name for it is "long non-coding RNA (ZMAR_LNC002812)". Lineage: Eukaryota; Viridiplantae; Streptophyta; Magnoliopsida; Alismatales; Zosteraceae. The record is from RNAcentral.
GCGAAAUCACUUUGAUUCUUCCGCAUGAGGAGUCUUAUCGAUGACAGAAUGAAGAACGUUGGAGAAAUUUGUUGGGAUGGCCGGGAAAUUUGGUACUUGGCGCCAUAUUUAAAAAAAGUACCAACUACUAAGAGGAAGAGGCGAAAUGUAAGAGUUCGAUAUAAAUAAGAGAGUUAGAUGAUAAAUCGUUGUCGUGGCUGCAAAUGAAGAUGUAGUAAUUGAAUUCGGAUACAAAAAUCGAAAUAAUAAUCGAACGAAUUCAGAUUAUUUAAAUAGUACGUGUUUUUGAUGCAAUUCGUCCGUCUUUUACACACGCGAUGGAUUCCGGUUCCGAUUCUAAUCCCGUGAUUUCCGUUUCAGAAACUGGCACGGUUUCAAGUGAAAAAAAGCCACGCCAGACAUCUGUCGGAUUUCAAAUCCGACAAAUCCGUAGGUCAUCCACAACGAGCUUCAGGUGCAGACAACCGCACCUAAAGCGUGUUGUAUUUAAACAUAAGGGUAUUCGGAUCGAAAUCGU